AUAUUUCAUUUGUGGCCCUAGCUUGCAAUUGUUUUCAGCAGGAAUGUCUUCUACACCGCUCUUAAAUAAACGUGACUAUAUAUGCUACUAUAUGCAAAAUAAAAAAAAGGCGAAGACGGUCUUUCAAAAAAGAAGAACUCCUGUGAUGGCUCGGAGCCAGUUAGGGCAAUGGAAAAAAUAUUGUUUUCCUAGAUUCAUUGAGAAUAUCCCUCGCGGAGAGGUGUUUGUCUCCCAAAUAAUUAUAGUCAAUUGCACCCUUGAAAAACAAAAGUUCAAUCCCUUACCGAUUAACAUUUUGUUAAAACAGCCAUUUAGUACAGAAUGAAUAUAUACGUACUAGAUGACAGAAUGCAAAUUCAUUCUCAGUCGCAAUUGGAAAUGAAAUAUUGUAUGCAGAAAUAUUAGUGCAUUGUUCAAGUUGGGGCACAUCUCAAGGAGCAUAUACAUUUCAAUGUGGCAAGAAACCCAGCAUACUAUUUUUUUUUCUAAAUAGAAAAUUUUAUUACAUCCAAAUGAUAAAAGAAUUUCAAA
Molecule: long non-coding RNA, 531 nt
Filed under: Setaria viridis
Lineage: Eukaryota; Viridiplantae; Streptophyta; Magnoliopsida; Poales; Poaceae
Description: long non-coding RNA (SVIR_LNC001695)
Source: RNAcentral